This 106-nucleotide small nucleolar RNA is filed under the name Cephalotus follicularis. RNAcentral describes it as "Plant small nucleolar RNA R71". It matches the Rfam family "Plant small nucleolar RNA R71". From Rfam's summary of the family: R71 is a member of the C/D box family of snoRNAs containing the C (UGAUGA) and D (CUGA) box motifs. Multiple nearly identical copies of this snoRNA have been identified in Arabidopsis, and it is thought to function as a 2'-O-ribose methylation guide for 18S ribosomal RNA. The record is from Rfam by way of RNAcentral. Lineage: Eukaryota; Viridiplantae; Streptophyta; Magnoliopsida; Oxalidales; Cephalotaceae.
ACGACAUGAUGGGGACAUUUUCUUAUGGGAUCCUUUAAUCGUUCCCAGAUUCAUGCAACUACUCACCAUCUUGUUGCGAAAAGCUAGUGAGAGCUCGCCUUAUUUG